AGAAAUCGUUAAGGGCGUAUGGCGGAUGCCUAGGCUUUCAGAGGCGAAGAAGGACGUGGUAAGCUGCGAAAAGCUACGGGGAUUGGCACACACGAAAUGAUCCGUAGAUAUCCGAAUGGGGCAACCCAGUAAGUUGAAGACUUACUACACCGUAAGGUGAGCGAACCCGGAGAACUGAAACAUCUAAGUACCCGGAGGAAAAGAAAUCGAAGAGAUUCCGUAAGUAGUGGCGAGCGAAAGCGGAUUAGCCCAAAAGUUUAUACAUGUUUAGUGGAAUGUUUUGGAAAGAACAAUCAUAGAAGGUGAAAAUCCUGUACACGAAAGGCAUAUAUAGAUGAAGAAAGAGUAGGGCGGGACACGUGAAAUCCUGUCUGAAUAUGGGGGGACCAUCCUCCAAGUGAAAGACCGAUAGUGAACAAGUACUGUGAAGGAAAGGUGAAAAGCACUUCGAAUAGAAGGGUGAAAGAGAACCUGAAACCGUACGCCUACAAGCGGUCGGAGCAGUUAUAUACUGUGACGGCGUGCCUUUUGCAUAAUGAGCCUACGAGUUAAUUUUACUAGCGAGGUUAAGGUAUUAAGUACCGGAGCCGGAGCGAAAGCGAGUCUGAAUAGGGCGAAUAGUUAGUGGGAUUAGACGCGAAACCUUGUGAUCUACCCAUGGGCAGGUUGAAGCACUGGUAACACAGUGUGGAGGACCGAACCGGUUGACGUUGAAAAGUCUUCGGAUGACCUGUGGGUAGGGGUGAAAGGCCAAUCAAACUGGGAGAUAGCUCGUACUCCCCGAAAUGCAUUUAGGUGCAGCGUUGAUUUAGUUUAUUAGAGGUAGAGCUACUGAUUGGAUGCGGGGGUUUCACCGCCUACCAAUUCCUGACAAACUCCGAAUGCUAAUAAAUAUUGAUCAGCAGUGAGGGCAUGGGUGCUAAGGUCCAUGUCCGAGAGGGAAAGAACCCAGACCAACAGCUAAGGUCCCUAAAUAUAUGCUAAGUUGAAACAACGCGGUUGAACUGCAUUGACAGCUAGGAUGUUGGCUUGGAAGCAGCCAUUCAUUUAAAGAGUGCGUAACAGCUCACUAGUCGAGCGGUUCGGCAUGGAUAAUAAUCGGGCAUAAGCAUAUUACCGAAGCUAUGGCAACGAAAGUUGGGUAGGGGAGCAUUCUAUCGGCGUAGAAGCAUCACUGUGAGGUGUUGUGGAGCUUAUAGAAAAGAAAAUGUAGGCAUAAGUAACGAUAAAGCAGGCGAGAAACCUGCUCACCGAAAGACUAAGGGUUCCUCAGCCAUGCUAAUCAGCUGAGGGUUAGUCGGGACCUAACGCGAACCCGAGAGGGGAAGUGGAUGGACAAUGGGUUAAUAUUCCCAUACUUGCUCACGAAUAAAGGGGACGGUUCAGCUAGACUACUGGAGACUGACGGAAUAGUCAAGACCUAGCCUACGGGCGAAGUUGUUGUAGAGUAACUGGAUCCAAGAAAAGCCGAAGUGAAGCAACCCGUACCAUAAACCGACACAGGUAGUCGAGGAGAGAAUCCUAAGGUGCUCGAGUGAGUCGUGGCUAAGGAACUAGGCAAAAUAGUCUCGUAACUUCGGAAUAAGAGACGCCAACAGCGAUGUUGGCCGCAGUGAAGAGGCCCAGGCGACUGUUUAUCAAAAACACAGGACUCUGCUAAAUCGAAAGAUGCUGUAUAGGGUCUGACACCUGCCCGGUGCUGGAAGGUUAAGGAAGGUGCUUAGCGUAAGCGAAGGCAUUGACUGAAGCCCCAGUAAACGGCGGCCGUAACUAUAACGGUCCUAAGGUAGCGAAAUUACUGUCUCAGCCACGAGCUCGGUGAAAUUGUAGUAUCGGUGAAGAUGCCGAUUACCCGCAAUGGGACGAAAAGACCCUGUGAACCUUUACUAUAACUUCGUAUUGACUUUGAGUAAGUAAUGUGUAGGAUAGGUGGGAGGCUAUGAAGCUGGCACGCUAGUGUUGGUGGAGCCGUUGUUGAAAUACCACCCUUUGCUUACUUGGAGCCUAACUUCUGAAUAAGAGUAAGAAGGACAUUGCGUGGUGGGUAGUUUGACUGGGGUGGUCGCCUCCAAAAGAGUAACGGAGGCUUUCAAAGGUACCCUCAGCACGCUUGGUAACCGUGCGUAGAGUGUAAUGGCAUAAGGGUGCUUGACUGUGAGACCAACAAGUCGAUCAGGUGCGAAAGCAGGACAUAGUGAUCCGGUGGUUCCGUAUGGAAGGGCCAUCGCUCAUAGGAUAAAAGGUACUCCGGGGAUAACAGGCUAGUCUCCCCCAAGAGCUCACAUCGACGGGGAGGUUCGGCACCUCGAUGUCGGCUCGUCACAUCCUGGGGCUGGAGAAGGUCCCAAGGGUUG
RNAcentral lists this ribosomal RNA (2354 nucleotides) under human metagenome. Its description in RNAcentral is "bacterial LSU rRNA". It matches the Rfam family "Bacterial large subunit ribosomal RNA", at positions 1 to 2574 of the family's 2925-position model. The record is from RNAcentral.